UAUUGCUCUUGAACGAGGAAUCCCGACUAGGCGUGGUGUCUACCUGGGGCUGAGUACGUCCCUGCCCUUUGCACACACCGCCCGUCGCUACUACCGAUUGAAUGGCUUACUGAGGCCUUUGGAUUGAAGGCGGAGUCUGGCGACACACCUGUUUUUGAGAAGUUGGUCAAACUUGGUCAUUUAGAGGAAGUAAAAGUCGUAACAAGGUUUCCGUAGGUGAACCUGCGGAAGGAUCAUUACCAAUCUCUAGUGAGCCUGGCAUCGUCCACGGUCUCGCUAAACCCUUGUAUUUAAAACCCGCUCAUAUAAUUAUAACAUGUAUUAUCACGAUAAAAGUUACGAUCGCGUUGGUCACCCGAUCUCUGGCCUCUCCCCUCGCUGAAGAACGUACCCCCGCUCCUUAAGUUAUGUGAAUUUCCUUUCUCCGUGAAUCAUCCAAUUUUUGAACGCAAAUUGCACUCUCUGGUACUCCUGGGAGUAUGCCAGUUUGAGGGUCGGUUUAUACCGACCCCAAAUGUCUCUUUUGUGACGAUUCGGAAUUGGGUUAUCUUACCCUUCGGGUUAAGAGACUUGAAAUUAAUAAUUUUUUACCCAUCCUUGACGUGUAUAAUUUAUUUAUCCGUUUCCGGGUGCCUACUUUACUAUGUAUGGUCAUGCUGUAUGAUAUCAUGGCUAUAAGUCUAAUUGAGUGAACUCAAAUCAAGUAGAAAUACCCGCUGAACUUAAGCAUAUCAAUAAGCGGAGGA
RNAcentral lists this ribosomal RNA (746 nucleotides) under Glomus sp. 24 ZHNL-2013. RNAcentral's name for it is "eukaryotic LSU rRNA". The stretch from base 1 to 239 matches the Rfam family "Eukaryotic small subunit ribosomal RNA", at positions 1591 to 1831 of the family's 1831-position model. Lineage: Eukaryota; Fungi; Glomeromycota; Glomeromycetes; Glomerales; Glomeraceae. The record is from RNAcentral.